GGUUGAUCCUGCCAGUAUUAUAUGCUGAUGUUAAAGAUUAAGCCAUGCAUGUGUAAGUUUAAAGACCAAGUAGGAUGAAACUGCGGACGGCUCAUUAUAACAGUAAUAGUUUCUUUGGUUAGUCGGUACAAGGAUAACUUUGUGAAUGAUAAAGCUAAUACUUGAGACGAUCCGGGAAGUAUUUUACUUUCCGGCCCUCGGAUGCGAGUCUGGGGAAAAACGACAUUUUUUUGUGAAAAAGGAUGCCGCGACAAUUGAGGAAAGCGACGCUUUUGACAAGUAACCAAUGGGAA
Molecule: ribosomal RNA, 293 nt
Filed under: uncultured eukaryote
Lineage: Eukaryota
Description: partial 18S ribosomal RNA
Rfam family: Eukaryotic small subunit ribosomal RNA
Source: RNAcentral